RNAcentral lists this ribosomal RNA (729 nucleotides) under Triticum aestivum (bread wheat). Its description in RNAcentral is "partial small subunit ribosomal RNA". Lineage: Eukaryota; Viridiplantae; Streptophyta; Magnoliopsida; Poales; Poaceae. The record is from RNAcentral.
AUGGCCUCCUCCGUGACGGAGAAGGACAUCAAGGAGCUUUGGGAGGCGAGGUAUUUGAUAGCGAAAAUCAAAUACCGACUCCCUGCCAAAGAGCAGGUUAUCCCCACUCCAGAGCCUGGUGAGAGGGUUGUAUUCCUCCCUCACUUUCUCCGCGGACUAGGGUUUAGCCUACACCCCUUUGUUCGAGGUCUCAUGUUCUAUUACGGGCUAGAUUUUCAUGAUCUGGCCCCGAACUCCUUCCUCCACAUCUCGGCGUUUAUCGUCAUGUGUGAGGCAUUCCUCCGCAUCCCUCCACACUUCGGCCUGUGGCUCAAGACUUUUAAUGUGAAGCCGAAGGUGCUCGACGGGCAACACGCAGAUUGUGGUGGUGCCAUGGUGAGCAAGCUUCCCAAAGCUAUCUGGCCCAAAGGGGCAUUUGUGGACACCAUCAAAAUAUGGCAGCAGGAGUGGUUUUAUAUCACCGAGCCCCGCGGCACCAAGUGGGCGGCCGCCCCUGCAUUUAGAUCCGGACCCCCGCCGCGGAUUGCGUCAUGGACCAACAAGGGUCUGGACUGGGGAUCAUCCGACAAGGUGCUGAUGCUGCAGAAGCGCAUCAAAAAUAUCAUAGAGAAGAACACCAGCCUCACAGAUGUGAUCCAGGUGAUGCUCAUCCGCCGGUCCCUUCCCUGCCAACGCCGGCCUCUCUGCAUGUGGGAGUUCAAUCUGGAAGGGCCCUGUACCCUGAAGUGA